UUAUUUAGGGGUGCACUAGUGAUUUUGAAAGGGAAACGAUUGAAGUCAGUCGUACUGACGGGGAAUCAACCUUUCGAACGUGAUAACGUGGGGUUCAAAGAGAUUUUGUUCUCCCGGCAUUCGCGUUUUUUUGGUGCACUUUCUCGUGUUUUGUAGGUUAGCAUCGGUUUUGACCGUUAUAAAAUGAUCGGAGGGAUGUAGCUUCGAUUUCGAUUGAAGUGUUAUAACCUUUGGUAAAUGUAACUGUUAGGACCGAGGAUUGCAACGGAUACCCUAAUGGGCUAUUCGUCUGACCUCUGAUACGUCACUUUGGCGUCGAAAGCUUGCUUACGAUGUUAAAGGCGUCGGUCAAAAGGUUAGAACGGAUUAAAUUCGUUAAGGAUGUUGACGUA
Molecule: ribosomal RNA, 392 nt
Filed under: uncultured Glomeromycotina
Lineage: Eukaryota; Fungi; Glomeromycota
Description: eukaryotic LSU rRNA
Source: RNAcentral